UCUUUUGAGUAUUGCUUUAAGAACUGAAAAGGAGGAAAGAGAUGACUCUGACAAAUCCAGGGCAUUUCUAAAUAAGCAUGAAUUGGAUUAUAAUAGGCUCAGUGAGAGAGUGAGAAUAUGCUGGAAUACUUUUUAUUCAGCAGAGCUCAUCUGGGUCCUGACAGGAAUUCCGGGACACAGACUCUCUCCAGUGGAUCUCUGAAUUUAUGCCUGUAGUAGACUGAUUAAGGAUUGAUACGGUUAUCAUCAUAUCAGUGGAGUGAUGUGAUUAUCACCUCAGCUUCUUCAGUCUGAAGUUAUAGAUCCCAGAAGCCAUGUAUUCUGUUUUUGUGGGAUAUUGUCUGGAUGUGGGCCCUGAAUGAAUGUCCCUCUGGUGGAAGGUACCCUAGAUGAAUAGAAAAGCCUGCCUUUUGUCAGGGAUUAUAAUCAGGAAGAUGAAAGUUUCCUCUGUAAUACCAUUUUUGCUUCUACUUCCAGGAUGCUGGCAAUUAUAGACCAGGACAGAGAAUGGGGACAUGAAUAAUGGAGGUGCCCAACAUUAGCACAACACUCUAUCCAUCACUGCCAAAGGGCAUAAGGAGAGACAUUGCCAUUUUCAACAGGGAGUAUAUAAUGCAUGAAAAGAGGAAGAGCCGCCUGUGAUAAGGCAGCCGUGGACGGCCUGUCCCACUGCUGUCAGUCUGCUGGGAAGUAGGAAGAGGCCGUGCUUGCACUGUGUGCUCAAUCCUCUCGGCCACACUCAGCUGCUGGUGGAGCAGAGCUGUAGUCAGUCCAAACCUGUUUGGGGGCCCAUGUGGUUAAAGGCACAAAUAAAGUUGCUAUGAACAUUCUCA
This 833-nucleotide long non-coding RNA is filed under the name Bos indicus x Bos taurus (hybrid cattle). Its description in RNAcentral is "lncRNA (ENSBIXG00005027096.1)". Lineage: Eukaryota; Metazoa; Chordata; Mammalia; Artiodactyla; Bovidae. The record is from RNAcentral.